CAGCAGCCGCGGUAAUACGAAGGGUGCAAGCGUUACUCGGAAUUACUGGGCGUAAAGCGUGCGUAGGUGGUUGUUUAAGUCUGCUGUGAAAGCCCUGGGCUCAACCUGGGAAUUGCAGUGGAUACUGGGCAACUAGAGUAAGGUAGAGGAUAGUGGAAUUUCCGGUGUAGCAGUGAAAUGCGUAGAGAUCGGAAGGAACAUCUGUGACGAAGGCGACUAUCUGGGCCAUUACUGACACUGAGGCACGAAAGCGUGGGGAGCAAACAGGAUUAUAUACCCCCGUAGUCCCUGUCUCUUAUAC
RNAcentral lists this ribosomal RNA (301 nucleotides) under uncultured bacterium. RNAcentral describes it as "partial 16S ribosomal RNA". It matches the Rfam family "Bacterial small subunit ribosomal RNA", at positions 509 to 807 of the family's 1533-position model. The record is from RNAcentral.